GACGAACGCUGGCGGCGUGCCUAGUACAUGCAAGUUGAGCGCUGAAGGUUGGUUCUUGUACCGUCUGGGUGAGCAGCGCACGGGUGAGUAACGCGUGGGGAAUCUGCCUUUCAUCGGGGUACCACCUUUGGACACGAAUUCUAAUACCGCAUAAAAACUUUAAACACAAGGUUUAAGUUUGAGAUAUGCAAUUGCAUCACUCAAAGAUGAUCUCUCGUUGUAUUAGCUAGUUGGUGAGGUAAAGGCUCAUCAAGGCGAGGUUACAUAGCCGACCUGAGAGGGCGGUCGGCCACAUUGGGACUGAGACCCGGCACAAUGGCAUACGGGAGGCAGCAGUAGGGCAUCGUCGGCAAGCGAUGAAAGUCUGAGCGCGAAACGCCGAGUGAGUGUAGAGGGAUGUCGGAUCGGAAAACUCGGUUGGUAGAGAAGAAAGUUGGUGAGAGUGGAAAGAACAGUAAGUGACGGUAACUAGUCAGAAAGGAACGGCUAACUACGUG
RNAcentral lists this ribosomal RNA (497 nucleotides) under uncultured bacterium. RNAcentral describes it as "partial 16S ribosomal RNA". It matches the Rfam family "Bacterial small subunit ribosomal RNA", at positions 28 to 507 of the family's 1533-position model. The record is from RNAcentral.